UGGGCUUCCAGGUUUCUCUGUUACAUGUGUUUUUGUCUUCUUCGUGUCAUCCCUCUCCCUCUCCUCACAUCCUCUUUAUGUAUAUUUGAACAAUUCACAGCAUACAUUUCAGACCUCAGAGCUGCCUCCCUCCACCUCCUCUGCCAGUGUUUAUUUUUUAUUAUUAUAUAACCGUGUCCCUGUGGACCUUGAAGACACUGCUAACUAAUUUUAUUUGACGCCGCUGCUGCUGCUGUUUAUAACAGGAAACUGCAAUGUUUUCUGAGCUUAUUCAUUUAACAAAAUGUAACCUGAGGCAAACAUGACGCAAAAAGAGUGGAGCUGCAUUCUUUCACAUCUUCCAGUUUGGUCUUUGGCUUGGUUAGCUCCAGGAUCCGUCUCUGGAAGCGCUGGCUGAAAGGGAUCAACAAGUCGUCCAAGUCCACCUCCAAGGUGAUGCGACCCUUUUGUCUCGCUAUGUUUGACAUCAGCUGGCUGGUGGUGGGCGGUUCACCCCAAAUCUGAAACAAACAAACAAAAAAAAAAACAACCAGAGUUGGAGUUUUCAAG
Xiphophorus couchianus (Monterrey platyfish) is the source of this 549-nucleotide long non-coding RNA. RefSeq lists it as uncharacterized. The record is from RefSeq and is a predicted model, not a curated record. The transcript has 2 exons. NCBI's taxonomy places the organism in Eukaryota, Metazoa, Chordata, Actinopteri, Cyprinodontiformes, Poeciliidae.